Molecule: ribosomal RNA, 253 nt
Filed under: uncultured bacterium
Lineage: Bacteria
Description: partial 16S ribosomal RNA
Rfam family: Bacterial small subunit ribosomal RNA
Source: RNAcentral
UACGAAGGACCCAAGCGUUAUCCGGAUUCAUUGGGUUUAAAGGGUGCGUAGGUGGAUCUAUAAGUCAGUGGUGAAAGCCCUUCGCUUAACGAAGGAAUUGCCAUUGAUACUGCAGAUCUUGAGUACAGUUGAGGUGGGCGGAAUGUGUCAUGUAGCGGUGAAAUGCUUAGAUAUGACCCAGAACACCGAUUGCGAAGGCAGCUCGCUAAACUGUAACUGACACUGAGGCACGAAAGCGUGGGUAGCAAACAGG